Molecule: ribosomal RNA, 515 nt
Filed under: Phylloporus luxiensis
Lineage: Eukaryota; Fungi; Basidiomycota; Agaricomycetes; Boletales; Boletaceae
Description: partial large subunit ribosomal RNA
Rfam family: Eukaryotic large subunit ribosomal RNA
Source: RNAcentral
GGGAAAAGCUCAAAUUUUGAAUCUGGCGGUCUUUGUGGCCGUCCGAGUUGUAAUCUAGAGAAGCGUGUUCCGCGCUGGACCGUGUACAAGUCUCCUGGAAGGGAGCGUCAUAGAGGGUGAGAAUCCCGUCUUUGACACGGACUGCCAGUGCUAUGUGAUGCGCUCUCGACGAGUCGAGUUGUUUGUGAAUGCAGCUCAAAAUGGGUGGUAAAUUCCAUCUAAAGCUAAAUACUGGCGAGAGACCGAUAGCGAACAAGUACCGUGAGGGAAAGAUGAAAAGAACUUUGGAAAGAGAGUUAAACAGUACGUGAAAUUGCUGAAAGGGAAACGCUUGAUGUCAGUCGCGUUCGCCAGGGAUCAACCUUGCGUUUAUUGCUCGGUGCAUUUCUUGGUUGGACGGGUCAGCAUCAGUUUCGAUCGAGGUAUAAUGGCGGAGGGAACGUGGCACCUCUAGGGGUGUGUUAUAGACUUUCGUCGUAUGCUUGGGUGGGGACUGAGGAACUCGACACGGACGU